This is a long non-coding RNA of Camelus dromedarius (Arabian camel), 429 nucleotides long. RefSeq lists it as uncharacterized. Lineage: Eukaryota; Metazoa; Chordata; Mammalia; Artiodactyla; Camelidae. The transcript has 3 exons. The record is from RefSeq and is a predicted model, not a curated record.
CCCACGCAAAGCACGAGAAAAAGCAGCAGCCGGGGACUCGAGCCCAUGGGGCUGGUGCCACGACUUUCAAGACAGGAUUUUCCUUGGAUGUAGUCAAGUUAAGAUGAGAUCAUACUGGUAUAGGUUGGCCCUACUCCAGUACGACUGGUGUCCUUAUAUAAAAAAAAGGAGAAACAAAGACGCACACAGAGGAAAACACCAUGUGAAGACAGAGACAGAGAUUGGAAGGAUGCAUCUGUAAGCCAAAGGAUGUCUAGGGUGGCUGAUAACCACCAGAAACCAGGAAGAGGCCAGGAAGGAUCCUCCCCUAAAGCCUUCAGAGAGAGCAUGGAUCUGCCAACACAUGGAUCCUAUGGUAAAUGUGUGUUUCAUUUUGUAAGAAACUGCCAAGCUGUCUUCCAUAGUGGCUGUAUCACUUUGCAUUUCUGC